RNAcentral lists this ribosomal RNA (249 nucleotides) under uncultured Streptococcaceae bacterium. Its description in RNAcentral is "partial 16S ribosomal RNA". It matches the Rfam family "Bacterial small subunit ribosomal RNA", at positions 560 to 809 of the family's 1533-position model. The record is from RNAcentral. Lineage: Bacteria; Bacillati; Bacillota; Bacilli; Lactobacillales; Streptococcaceae.
GUAAAGCGAGCGCAGGCGGUUUGAUAAGUCUGAAGUUAAAGGCUGUGGCUCAACCAUAGUUCGCUUUGGAAACUGUCAAACUUGAGUGCAGAAGGGGAGAGUGGAAUUCCAUGUGUAGCGGUGAAAUGCGUAGAUAUAUGGAGGAACACCGGUGGCGAAAGCGGCUCUCUGGCCAUUAUCUGACGCUGAGGUACGAAAGCGUGGGUAGCAAACAGGAUUAGAUACCCUGGUAGUCAAGGGCGAAUUCGC